AGUGCAACAGAAAGAAACCGCCCCGCACUCAAUCUGUAAGAGAUUCAGUUUAUUAUUUAAGAUAUGUAAACUAUAAAUUAAUUUAGUAUAGAGUCUUUUACAGAUUGAGUGCGGGGUAAGGAUGGAAAGGUGAGGUAAGAGCUCACCGGCAAUCAGGCGACUGGUUGGCCCUGUAAACCCCACCCGGAGCAAGACCAAAAGAGGACCUUGGAGUGGCUGCUCGUCACGGUCCAAAUGGUAGGUCGCUUGAGUUUGCCGGCAACGGCAAGCCUAGAUAGAUGAUUGUUUAAUACAGAACUCGGCUUAUAUAUUUACUCACUAC
RNAcentral lists this RNase P RNA (322 nucleotides) under Tissierellia bacterium. RNAcentral describes it as "partial RNase P RNA component class A". It matches the Rfam family "Bacterial RNase P class A", at positions 108 to 367 of the family's 367-position model. From Rfam's summary of the family: Ribonuclease P (RNase P) is a ubiquitous endoribonuclease, found in archaea, bacteria and eukarya as well as chloroplasts and mitochondria. Its best characterised activity is the generation of mature 5'-ends of tRNAs by cleaving the 5'-leader elements of precursor-tRNAs. Cellular RNase Ps are ribonucleoproteins. The record is from RNAcentral. Lineage: Bacteria; Bacillati; Bacillota; Tissierellia.